CCUACGGGAGGCAGCAGUGGGGAAUAUUGCACAAUGGGCGCAAGCCUGAUGCAGCGACGCCGCGUGAGGGAUGACGGCCUUCGGGUUGUAAACCUCUUUCAGUAGGGAAGAAGCGAAAGUGACGGUACCUGCAGAAGAAGCGCCGGCUAACUACGUGCCAGCAGCCGCGGUAAUACGUAGGGCGCAAGCGUUAUCCGGAAUUAUUGGGCGUAAAGAGCUCGUAGGCGGUUUGUCGCGUCUGCCGUGAAAGUCCGGGGCUCAACUCCGGAUCUGCGGUGGGUACGGGCAGACUAGAGUGAUGUAGGGGAGACUGGAAUUCCUGGUGUAGCGGUGAAAUGCGCAGAUAUCAGGAGGAACACCGAUGGCGAAGGCAGGUCUCUGGGCAUUAACUGACGCUGAGGAGCGAAAGCAUGGGGAGCGAACAGGAUUAGAUACCCUGGUAGUCCAUGCCGUAAACGUUGGGCACUAGGUGUGGGGGACAUUCCACGUUUUCCGCGCCGUAGCUAACGCAUUAAGUGCCCGCCUGGGGNGACGCGCGAGAAGUAACUACAANAGUAGUUGAGNGNGNGNGNGCGAGCGACGACGAGGAGAG
Molecule: ribosomal RNA, 592 nt
Filed under: uncultured bacterium
Lineage: Bacteria
Description: bacterial SSU rRNA
Rfam family: Bacterial small subunit ribosomal RNA (bases 1-524)
Source: RNAcentral